This 306-nucleotide ribosomal RNA is filed under the name uncultured bacterium. Its description in RNAcentral is "partial 16S ribosomal RNA". It matches the Rfam family "Bacterial small subunit ribosomal RNA", at positions 507 to 808 of the family's 1533-position model. The record is from RNAcentral.
GACAGCAGUCGCCGCGGUAAAACGUAGGGGGCAAGCGUUGUCCGGAAUUAUUGGGCGUAAAGCGCGCGCAGGCGGUCAUUUAAGUCUGGUGUUUAAUCCCGGGGCUCAACCCCGGAUCGCACUGGAAACUGGGUGACUUGAGUGCAGAAGAGGAGAGUGGAAUUCCACGUGUAGCGGUGAAAUGCGUAGAUAUGUGGAGGAACACCAGUGGCGAAGGCGACUCUCUGGGCUGUAACUGACGCUGAGGCGCGAAAGCGUGGGGAGCAAACAGGAUUAGAUACCCCGGUAGUCCCUGUCUCUUAUACA